GGCGAACGGGUGAGUAACACGUGGGUGAUCUGCCCUGCACUUCGGGAUAAGCCUGGGAAACUGGGUCUAAUACCGGAUAGGACGAUGGUUUGGAUGCCAUUGUGGAAAGUUUUUUCGGUGUGGGAUGAGCUCGCGGCCUAUCAGCUUGUUGGUGGGGUAAUGGCCUACCAAGGCGUCGACGGGUAGCCGGCCUGAGAGGGUGUACGGCCACAUUGGGACUGAGAUACGGCCCAG
Molecule: ribosomal RNA, 234 nt
Filed under: uncultured Actinomycetales bacterium
Lineage: Bacteria; Bacillati; Actinomycetota; Actinomycetes; Actinomycetales
Description: partial 16S ribosomal RNA
Rfam family: Bacterial small subunit ribosomal RNA
Source: RNAcentral